GCCCCCUUAGCUCAGCUGGAUAGAGCAUCGGACUUCUAAUCCGAGGGUCAGAGGUUCAAGUCCUCUAGGGGGUA
Molecule: transfer RNA, 74 nt
Filed under: Candidatus Tectimicrobiota bacterium
Lineage: Bacteria; Pseudomonadati; Candidatus Tectimicrobiota
Description: tRNA-Arg
Rfam family: tRNA
About the family: Transfer RNA (tRNA) molecules are approximately 80 nucleotides in length. Their secondary structure includes four short double-helical elements and three loops (D, anti-codon, and T loops).
Source: RNAcentral